This 29-nucleotide non-coding RNA is filed under the name Rattus norvegicus (Norway rat). The record is from RNAcentral. Lineage: Eukaryota; Metazoa; Chordata; Mammalia; Rodentia; Muridae.
UGUAGAGUACAACUUGGGAACUUUUUAAC